AUUGAACGCUGGCGGCAGGCCUAACACAUGCAAGUCGAACGAGUGGCGGACGGGUGAGUAAUGUCUGGGAAACUGCCUGAUGGAGGGGGAUAACUCCUGGAAACGGUAGCUAAUACCGCAUACCAUCAGAUGUGCCCAGAUGGGUUUAGCUAGUCGGUGGGGUAAAGGCUCACCAAGGCGACUAUCCCUAGCUGGUCUGAGAGGAUGACCAGCAACACUGGAACUGAGACACGGUCCAGACUCCUACGUGAGGCAGCAGUGGGGAAUAUUGCACAAUGGGCGCAAGCCUGAUGCAGCCAUGCCGCGUGUAGGAAGAAGGCCUUCGGGUUGUAAAGUACUUGCAGCGGGGAGGCGGUACCCGCAGAAGAAGCACCGGCUAACUCCGUGCCAGCAGCCGCGGUAAUUC
Molecule: ribosomal RNA, 406 nt
Filed under: uncultured bacterium
Lineage: Bacteria
Description: partial 16S ribosomal RNA
Rfam family: Bacterial small subunit ribosomal RNA
Source: RNAcentral